RNAcentral lists this long non-coding RNA (711 nucleotides) under Salvia miltiorrhiza (redroot sage). RNAcentral describes it as "long non-coding RNA (SMIL_LNC010990)". The record is from RNAcentral. Lineage: Eukaryota; Viridiplantae; Streptophyta; Magnoliopsida; Lamiales; Lamiaceae.
UAAUUUGAAUCGGUGAGUAAUCUUUAUCUUCAAUUUUUCAUGAAACUUCUGCAAAUUUUGUUAUUUCAGUCUUUUACGCUUUCGAUGAUACAAUUGAGCUUUAACUUUAUCUACAUCAUGCUUGUUAUAUAAACAUCACUUUUUGUUGUAGGAAUAACAUUUAUUUUGGCAUUCUGAACUCAUGGGUACAAAUGGGAAUAAUGAAUCCAAAUUGGAUAUGCCAUUGUUGCUUGAUGAUUCCAUUGCCUCCUCAAAAGCAUCUCUGGAAAAAGCUCUUAAGGAGGCGAAAGAAUGCCUAGAAAAGGCUGAAUAUGUCGCUUUGCAACUGAGCAAUGCUGUAGACUCAUUGAGUUUGGUUGUGCCUGAUUCGGAAGAUGAAGACGAUAUUCAUCGGUCGUCUACACCUUGCAUUCGGCGUCGUGCAAUAAAGAAUGGAAAGAAACCCACUGGAAAGAAACCCAUCGUUAAUGAUCAGAAAAUACCAGGAGAGAGAAUGCUUAGGAUUUUACUACCAGCAUUUUUUGAGAAAAAGUAAAUCGAAAGCAGAGCAUCUGCUUUUGUGACUCUAUUUUAAUUAUUGUCGUCUUAAUUAUUCGUCUAUUUUGCGACUCCGUUUUUAUUUGUAUGUUAAUGGAAAGCAGAGCAUCUGCAGGUCAUGUAUGUUGAUUACAAGUGUUGGUGGGUUCAACAUCUUUUUCUUUGAAAGAUGGC